AAAUUGAAGAGUUUGAUCAUGGCUCAGAUUGAACGCUGGCGGCAGGCCUAACACAUGCAAGUCGAACGGUAACAGGAAGAAGCUUGCUUCUUUGCUGACGAGUGGCGGACG
This 111-nucleotide ribosomal RNA is filed under the name Escherichia coli. RNAcentral's name for it is "partial 16S ribosomal RNA". It matches the Rfam family "Bacterial small subunit ribosomal RNA", at positions 1 to 104 of the family's 1533-position model. Lineage: Bacteria; Pseudomonadati; Pseudomonadota; Gammaproteobacteria; Enterobacterales; Enterobacteriaceae. The record is from RNAcentral. RNAcentral also lists the same sequence under 1 other name.